GGCGUUGUGGCGGAGUGGUUAACGCGGUUGACUAGAAUGGUCUCUCUGGCAACGGAGAGGGAUUCAGGAAUCAACUUCCUUCGGGAGCGCAUGUUCGAAUCAUGUCAACGUCG
This is a transfer RNA of Trichosporon asahii var. asahii CBS 8904, 113 nucleotides long. It matches the Rfam family "tRNA". From Rfam's summary of the family: Transfer RNA (tRNA) molecules are approximately 80 nucleotides in length. Their secondary structure includes four short double-helical elements and three loops (D, anti-codon, and T loops). Further hydrogen bonds mediate the characteristic L-shaped molecular structure. tRNAs have two regions of fundamental functional importance: the anti-codon, which is responsible for specific mRNA codon recognition, and the 3' end, to which the tRNAs corresponding amino acid is attached (by aminoacyl-tRNA synthetases). tRNAs cope with the degeneracy of the genetic code in two manners: having more than one tRNA (with a specific anti-codon) for a particular amino acid; and 'wobble' base-pairing, i.e. permitting non-standard base-pairing at the 3rd anti-codon position. Lineage: Eukaryota; Fungi; Basidiomycota; Tremellomycetes; Trichosporonales; Trichosporonaceae. The record is from Rfam.